This 253-nucleotide ribosomal RNA is filed under the name uncultured bacterium. RNAcentral's name for it is "partial 16S ribosomal RNA". It matches the Rfam family "Bacterial small subunit ribosomal RNA", at positions 524 to 776 of the family's 1533-position model. The record is from RNAcentral.
UACAGGGGGGGCAAGCGUUGUUCGGAAUUACUGGGCGUAAAGGGCGCGUAGGCGGCCUUCUAAGUCGAACGUGAAAUCCCCGGGCUCAACCCGGGAACUGCGUCCGAGACUGAAAGGCUUGAAUCCGGGAGAGGGAUGUGGAAUUCCAGGUGUAGCGGUGAAAUGCGUAGAUAUCUGGAGGAACAUCGGUGGCGAAGGCGGCAUCCUGGACCGGUAUUGACGCUGAGGCGCGAAAGCCAGGGGAGCGAAUGGG